GGUGUUUUUUACCCUAUUUUCUCUUGGAAACAGAUGUGUACUUUAUUUCAGGCGAGCUUUCUGCUCUCCCCCCCCCCCAGCCCCCCCCCCCCCCCCCAUACCUGCUAAUUCCCCGAGUUUAUCCGUGCCACAGACAAUAAAGCCAUAAAGCUGCCUGCAGAAAUUUGUUUGCCGUAACGACGUGUUAUUUGAGCCCCGGCUUUCGGGACUCUGACACUUGCCCAGAUCAAAGAACCCCCUAAAAAUCGCCGGGUGCUUCGGGGCCGGGGCGGGGGGACGCGGGCGGCCCGGGGAGGAGCCCGGUGCCGGGGGAGCCCGGGGGGGCCCCUCUCGUCCCGGUGCAGCUCCCGGAGGGCUCCGCACCCCCGGUUCCGGGGCUGUCCCCAGCCUUGCCAGGACGUUUUCCCCGCUCCCCAGCUGCUGCUUUUGGGUGGGUGUCCCUGCGAACUGCGCCUACCUUAGACGGUUUUACGGCCCCCCGUCUAAUUGCCCGGUAUUAGUUUUACUACCAGAUACCGGCUCCUGAAAAGUAGGUUUAAAUUACGUGUUGCAGAAGCGAUACCAUAAAGCAGCAGCAAACAGAAUCCCUCCUCCAACACAUUUAUGGGCUAAGGCUGCAAAGAUCACAGGCUUCAGGUUUUGCCUUCGGUUUAAAGGUUGGCCCGGCACGGGAAGUCAUUUGAUAAACCUUAAGCUGUACUUCAUAAUCUUUACUGCUUUAUGGAGCUUUCCAAAUCUUUAACACACUGUAACCUUUUCAAGACAGAUUGCCAGACAACAUUUCGGUGUUGGGUUUACUUAAUGCGGCGCUGGCGAGGAAGUGAAUUUUCACGGUGCCCACAUUACUGCCGGGCACUCCCCCCCCCCCGCCCCCUCCCGCUCCCCGGCCCCGCGGAGCCGUCGCCUGCGAAGAUUUAUGAAAGCUGCGGAUCUCUAAUAUCGUGCGCACGGAUUUUGAUCCGUCAGAUUACAGCCUCCGCCGUGUCUGAGGCUGCCGCUGGUGAAGGGCGCUUGUGUACGGAGCGCGGAUCAAAGGCUCGAAACGCCCUCUCGUGUUUACUCGAGUUGCAAAAGAAAGGAAAAACAGACACCUCUCGGGCAAUCAAAGCAUCGCCUCGCCGCCGCCGCAAUCCAACACCCGGCGGGAGCCGCGGUCCCGGUCCCCCCCCCCCCCCACCCCGGGUUCCCCUCCUCAAAUCACCCCGUGACGAAACGACCCCACCCGUGUGACGCUAUCAGGCUGCUUCUUUUCUGAUUUCUGCAAUAAAUUAACGGCGGUGACAGGCGGGAGGCUGAGA
This 1298-nucleotide long non-coding RNA is filed under the name Anas platyrhynchos platyrhynchos (common mallard). RNAcentral's name for it is "lncRNA (ENSAPLG00000025425.1)". The record is from RNAcentral. Lineage: Eukaryota; Metazoa; Chordata; Aves; Anseriformes; Anatidae.